UACGUAGGUGGCAAGCGUUGUCCGGAUUUACUGGGCGUAAAGAGCGCGCAGGCGGUCGUUCAAGUCGAGUGUGAAAGCCCCCGGCUCAACUGGGGAGGGUCAUUCGAUACUGAUCGACUUGAAGGCAGGAGAGGGAAGUGGAAUUCCCGGUGUAGUGGUGAAAUGCGUAGAUAUCGGGAGGAACACCAGUGGCGAAGGCGACUUCCUGGCCUGUUCUUGACGCUGAGGCGCGAAAGCGUGGGGAGCGAACAGG
This 253-nucleotide ribosomal RNA is filed under the name uncultured bacterium. RNAcentral's name for it is "partial 16S ribosomal RNA". It matches the Rfam family "Bacterial small subunit ribosomal RNA", at positions 524 to 776 of the family's 1533-position model. The record is from RNAcentral.